GUCCCUCCUCCCACCCUGCGAGGUGCUCGUGUUCCCCCGCAGCGGGGCUGUGGAUCGAGGGUUGGGUUUUAGUGCUGGGCUGCUGUCGCCUGAGGUGCUCGGGAGUGGCCUCCCGAGGUGCCCUGGCCAUGGCCAGCAGAUAACGCACGGGGCUCGCCCAGGGUCACCUGGCGCGCCUUGGAGUUCGACCAGCGUAGGGCUGGGAGUUGUGCUGGGGGAAUGAUUAACGUGGCCACAGACGCCUAUCGAGGCGAGAUCAGUGGAAUAUGGGGUUGACAAGGUGUGUUCAGCAGCCCCCAUCUCUGCUUUCUUUUUUCUCUCCCCCAGUCUGGUUGCAGGUGAUGUGCCACCAAGCUCGGUGGGAGCAGAAAUGAGGCUGAGCUCCCCACGCAGCAGAAACCUCAGCUCUGAAGGCUGCGGCUUGACCGCACUGAGGGAAUUGCUGGCAAAAUAAGGAACCUCACCCGCCUGGUCAGGCGGAAAACCCUGACUUUUUCUCUGCUGUCAAGGCUUUUGGCAUCGCCCUCUCAGGUCAAGCAGCCACCAUAGGCAGAGGGAUGUGUUAGUUCCCAGAGGUUGGCGAGAGCUCUUGUUUUACAGCAGCAGCCUGCAAGCCGCCGGGAGCAAAGCAAGUGCGGCUUCUGCUUUGCCAUGCCUGGUCCCCUCUGAUGCUCUCAGCCCAGGGGAAGUUGGUGGAAAAUGUGGAAGUGCUGCAGCAGGCAGCCUGCAAAACAGACCUUUACAUCUGGGCAAAGAAGCAAUUGGUAAAAAAAUGUUGUCCUUUUUCUAAUUAAAGAAACCUCAGCAACUAAGUCAAAACUUCUGCAUCUCUUCCUGCUGAAAUCCAUCAGGGUUUCUGUGGAGCCUGUGCUUUUACCCCAAGUUACAAGCUGUUGCUUCAGGUGGCGUUUUACCUUACAAAUUACACUGUUGGCUCAGAGCUGUUGUUGAAGAGCCGGAGUUGUUUCACAGUGAUAGGCAAUACGUGUUCAGCAGCCCCUGGGCUUCAUUUCAGUGUUUCAAAUUAGGUUCCCAUACCCUGGGUACUCAACAUUUAGGACAAUUAAAUGAGCAGUCUUGUUUCAU
Molecule: non-coding RNA, 1086 nt
Organism: Anas platyrhynchos (mallard)
Lineage: Eukaryota; Metazoa; Chordata; Aves; Anseriformes; Anatidae
Source: RefSeq, a predicted model, not a curated record